AGAGCAAGAAGUAAGAGCAUUCUCAGUGAGGACAGCCAACACUGUCCACCCCGGGUAAGCACAGCCACUGACCAAGGGGAACCAGAAGGUUCUACCACCUGUCCCCACCAUGGCAUCUGGGACACCAGCCACUGUCCACUGUCUGACUCACAGAGCAGAUCUUCUCUCCCCAGCCCUCAGUUGCUGGAGGUCCUCACCUCUUCCCGGCCACAGGAGACCAGGUCACAGGCCCCACAACAACUCUCCUUGAGUGUGAGG
RNAcentral lists this long non-coding RNA (258 nucleotides) under Mus musculus (house mouse). Its description in RNAcentral is "predicted gene, 29918". The record is from RNAcentral. Lineage: Eukaryota; Metazoa; Chordata; Mammalia; Rodentia; Muridae.